CUCUCCCAUCUCUACGUAUCCUAUACCUAACAGAUGAAGUCAAUGACCCAUCCUUCACCAUCAAAUCAAU
This 70-nucleotide transfer RNA is filed under the name Macaca mulatta (Rhesus monkey). RNAcentral describes it as "tRNA-Lys". The record is from RNAcentral. Lineage: Eukaryota; Metazoa; Chordata; Mammalia; Primates; Cercopithecidae.